GUUGAGAGACGAAGCAGAGCCGAAGUCUGAGAGAGCUGCGUAGAUAGUCUACUCACAGAGAUGGUCUCCAUGUACUGCAAUUGCUUACACGCCAAUAAGCCCGAGCUUGUUGCCUGUAGGGUCGACGCUAUUGGCUACCAGGUCGGCCACCAGCUCUCCGAGAGAGUAAUGAAUGGGUUCUGCUUGUUACGUAUACAAUGGAGCGGCCUGGUUUACUGAACAUCUCGAUGCAAUUAAGUUCAUCUGCAAGCAUUUCCGGUCUGAACUUUUCAAGAAGCAGAUAGACAACUUGAAGACCAAUCAUAUGGGUACCUUUGUGUUGCAAGAUAAUCGGUUUCCAUGGCUUUCAUGAACGUCUCUUGAUCCGGCCGCUGAAAAUGGAGACGUAUCUCCAAGAAAAUAUUCUGAGCCUCGGCUGACAAUAAGGCAGCACAGGUACCAAACAUGCAUCUCCAUUUCUCUUGUGGGGUCAUUAAAGGGGCCUUUCAUAACUUGGGGAUUGCUUGCGCUGUUUCUGCAGACACAUCCCAUCUCCCUGCAUGAGAGUGUCUCUCUGUUUAUUGCUGUAGAAUAGUGACUACAUUUAGCUAAAAAUUAAGAAAUGUACAGCCCUCUAUCACUAGCUACCGUAGGGUUUGUUAAGAUUAUAUCGCCUUAUGGUCAUUAUAAUGGAUUAUCCAUCUGAGUAUACCUUGAAGCUCCAUGAUAUGUUCUUAGGAAUGAAGCUCCAUGAUAUGUUGGGUAGCUUGACUUUUAUUGUCUGACAGGUUUAUGACCUGGAAUACAGAAUACUUCAUUGUUUGUAGAGUAAAUUCUUUCUCGUUACCCUCAUAUUUGUUUAGUGACUGUCUGCAAUAUAGUCAACAUGCCUAUAUCAUUUCAGUUUUCGUGCCAAAAAGAGUGUAGUAUAUGAUGUUUUGAGCUGGUAAAUAAAGGGGUCCCAUUGUUUCCCUCUAGUUGUGGACUCAAUGGACCAAUAGUGGAUUGAUUAUAUGAUAGAUUGCCGCCUGGUAUUUGGUUGUUGACUUGUUCUAAUGACUCGUAUUCAAUUAGAGAACAGUAAACUUUGGAGCAACACAAAAAAAAAAAGGUAAAAAGAGGAGAUUAUUGUCAAAGUAUUCUAUCCAGCCCUGCUGCACUGCUUGGAUAAAAGGUGAAGGUUCUGGUCAUAAUCUGUGUUGGUAGAAGUACCUUUGAACCAUGUAUCCUGCACUUGUUCUGGGCUUAAGUAUCUGUACCUUUCGAACAGUUGCUAUCCUGUCUACUGAGUUUUUUUUUUUUUUUUCAUUCUUGGACUGUGAUAGUUGCAUCUUAGGUUUUGUUUUUGACCAUCUCUUGGAAUACCAAUGGUGUUAUUUGAUUCAGUAGUCCUUCAAACCUUGAUUUAUUUCUAAUACAAGCAUCUUGCAUUGAGCCUUUUAAUGGUUCUAUAUUUUAGCCUAUGUACCAGGUUUAAAGAAUGAAAAAGAAAAAUUAUUUUCUUGUAUCCCAAUGCAGGCAUGUAAGGGCUUGGUUCUGAGUGAUGUAUUUGAUGUUAUAAUAGAUCCUUAAUUUCUUUAAGGGCUGGGGGGUGUGAAUUCUCAGACAUACUAAACCUGUCCCCAAGAGGAUAAAUGGGGUGAUUAUGGUGACAUCCAAUGUAGAUCCAACUUUCUAUUCACUCGUGGGAUCCAGGCGGUCCAUUUGAUUUUAACCCUCUUUUGCCUAAUUCAUGUCUCAAAUGUUUGUGCUGAUUCUUGUGUAUGAUUUUCAAAGUAGAGAUGCGUUAUUCAUGAAAGUGGGGGUAUUACUUUCUCCAUUAGGCUAUUUUUUCUUUGUUCUUACUCCUUCGUUGUGACAUAGUACUGUCUGUCUUUCUCUUUUUUACACUUGCCUUCUCUCAUUAACAUGUCUUGCACUGAAUCUGACAUAUAUCUCACAACUUCUUGUCUUGUAUAUAUGCUCACGACAUAAUUUAUGAAUUAAACUGUGGUUAUUUUCUUUUCGUUUACUGGUAUUUCUUGUAACUGUUUGAAAUUUUUGAACAGGUUCAUUUGUGGUUCGUAUAAAACCCUGAUGAAAGAUUCACCAAGGAACAGCAGAGAGCCAGAAAGAUUGGGGGUUCAAUUCAUCAAGUUAUCAGUCAAGACUCGCGGUUUUCUCUUACUCUUGUGCAGAAGGGAUUUCACUAGAUUUCAGAAUCUCUUUGUAGCUUUCAAACUAACAAGCGUAUUUGGGAGAAAAAUCUCCUUUGAAUUAGUGAACUCCUAGAAGCAGAUACUGUGGUGAAUUGUUCUUCGCAAGAUUGUACUUGGUGUUGAGGAUGCCAUUGUAGGAGAAUGGUAAAAAAUAAAAUUUUGUACUUAUGCCAUAUAUGAGAUUGUGCUAUUCUCCAUAGCAAAAAAAAUAAAAUAAAAUAAAAUAUAAAAAAAUAAUAAUAA
Rosa chinensis is the source of this 2420-nucleotide long non-coding RNA. RefSeq lists it as uncharacterized. The transcript is spliced from 3 exons. The record is from RefSeq and is a predicted model, not a curated record. NCBI's taxonomy places the organism in Eukaryota, Viridiplantae, Streptophyta, Magnoliopsida, Rosales, Rosaceae.